Molecule: non-coding RNA, 72 nt
Organism: Phrynosoma platyrhinos (Desert horned lizard)
Lineage: Eukaryota; Metazoa; Chordata; Lepidosauria; Squamata; Phrynosomatidae
Source: the annotation of a GenBank genome assembly
GGAAGUGUGGUUUAGUGGCUUGUAUGUUGGACUAUGACUCUGGAGGCCAGGGUACAAAUCCCUGUUUGGCCA